GCCACAGUGGUCUAGCGGUCAGAACACUAGCCUUGUAAGCCUGGGGUCCCGGGUUCAAUUCCCGGUGGUGCUC
Molecule: non-coding RNA, 73 nt
Organism: Zootermopsis nevadensis
Lineage: Eukaryota; Metazoa; Arthropoda; Insecta; Blattodea; Termopsidae
Source: Rfam